This 922-nucleotide ribosomal RNA is filed under the name Panagrolaimus subelongatus. Its description in RNAcentral is "SSU rRNA". It matches the Rfam family "Eukaryotic small subunit ribosomal RNA", at positions 39 to 966 of the family's 1831-position model. The record is from RNAcentral. Lineage: Eukaryota; Metazoa; Nematoda; Chromadorea; Rhabditida; Panagrolaimidae.
AAAGAUUAAGCCAUGCAUGUCUAAGUACAUGUGUAAUUUAACACGAAACCGCGUAUGGCUCAUUAUAACAGCUAAAAUUUACUUGAUUUUGACUUUUAUCCUACAUGGAUAACUGUGGUAAUUCUGGAGCUAAUACAUGCAUAAAAGAUAAAACAUUUAUUCGUUUUAUUGCGUAUAUUAGUAUUAAAACCAAGCAUUCUUCGGAAUGUUUUGUGUAGAAACUAAAUAUAUCAUGCUGAUCGUAUGGUCUUGUACCGACGACAUGUCAUUCAAGUGUCUGAUCUAUCAACUUUCUAUAUAAGUAUAUAGUACUUAUAUGGUUUUGACGGAUAACGGGGUAUUAGGGUACGACUCCGGAGAAAAUGCCUGAGAAACGGCGUUUACAUCCAAGGAAGGCAGCAGGCGCGAAAAUUACCCACUCUCAGUACGAGGAGGUAGUGACGAGAAAUGACAAGAUCUAUUCCUUCGGGGAUGGAUCAUUGGAAUGGUUUGAUUUUGAAAUCAUUAAAGAGUAUCAAUGAGAGGGCAAGUCUGGUGCCAGCAGCCGCGGUAACUCCAGCUCUCAUACUGCAUUGAAUUGUUGUUGCGGUUAAAAAGCUCGCAGUUGGAUCUGUACAUGAUAGGUUAGUUCAUCCUUUGGAUUGUAACUAAUACUAAAUGUUUUUUAUUAGAUUUUUUAUUUUUUUACGAAAAUAAAUGUCUAAUGAGUUUACUUUGAAUAAAUCAGAGUGCUCAAAACAGGCGUAAGCUUGUAUGGUUUUGCAUGGAAUAAUAGAACAUGACUAUGGUUCAUGUUUUAUUGGUUUUACUUACCAUAGUAAUGAUUAAAAGGAACAAACGGGGGCAUCCGUAUCGCAGGGCGAGAGGUGAAAUUCGUGGACCCUUGCGAGACGAACUACAGCGAAAGCAUUUGCCAAGAAUG